Long non-coding RNA from Papilio xuthus (Asian swallowtail), 155 nucleotides. RefSeq lists it as uncharacterized. The transcript has 2 exons. The record is from RefSeq and is a predicted model, not a curated record. NCBI's taxonomy places the organism in Eukaryota, Metazoa, Arthropoda, Insecta, Lepidoptera, Papilionidae.
GCCGGCCGCAGCUGUAGCCGCGGUGCUCGCCGCCACGCCCGCUGACUAUGCGCACGCGCAGACCGGCUACGCGCUCACUAUAGGAUCUGUCAUGGCGGACAGUUUACAUGUGCCUCAUACAGAGUGGCAGGAGGCGACAACUGGUGUUAGUAGAA